This 1832-nucleotide long non-coding RNA is filed under the name Nicotiana benthamiana. RNAcentral's name for it is "long non-coding RNA (NBEN_LNC006252)". Lineage: Eukaryota; Viridiplantae; Streptophyta; Magnoliopsida; Solanales; Solanaceae. The record is from RNAcentral.
GAAAUUCUGGCUCGCUGCAAUUCAGACUUUUUGGACUGAAAUGUACGUUAAAAAGUUUAGGAAAUAUUUUUGCAGAAGUAGGCAUUUCUGCAGCCCAUUAUAUGUCCGCAUAAUCACUCUACGGUUCGCAGAAUGGGCGUAGAGUGAAGCAGUCUUUUUGGCCAAUUUUUGAGGUCGAUUUCACGGCCCAUUAUGUGACCACAUAUUCAUUUUGCGGGUCGCAAUUUGGUCGUAUAAUCGUCCUUAAAAGUUUGCAGAGGGAGGUUCUGCGAUGCAUUAUAUGACCGUAGAACAGGUUUGCAUGUCGUUGAACAACUGUAGUGUGAAGCAGACCAGCCCAGUCCUAGGGAUAAUUGUUGGGGUCAUUUCGCAGACAGCAUAACCAUUAUACGGUCACAUAUGCGACUGUGUAACCUAUUCCGAAGCCAUGUCGCACACAUGGUGGUAACUCUGUUGGAAAUGAUGAUUGAAAUUGUGGAUAUGGUUGAUCUCUCAAACAAGAUGACCUACCCUAUCGUGUUGAGAUCGAACUCCGGGUAAGAACACAAUGGUAUUGUGGCACAUGGCACUAGGAUUACCAACCUAAUAAGAUGGAAAUUGAACCGAGAACUUAUGUGAUCCUUACUUAAUAUUUUAGUAUUUGUUUCAAGCUCUUAUUGUACAUAAUGACUGCUUCCUCUUUGUUUCAUUGUUCAUUCUAUUAAGACUGGUGUUUAGCUUUACAUACUAGUACUAUUCGAUAGCACUAAUGUUUCAUUUUUCCGGGUGCACUACAUCUUUAAAUGGACGUAGGCGGUUCCAUAGUAGACAAUGUUGAUCGCAGCUAGUGGUACAUCAUCAUCAUCAUAUUCCUAGCAGACUUGGUGUGUCCCAUUUCAUCACGGGGUCAUGUAGUGCAUCUUGUAUUAAUAUGUUCACCACGUUUUGAGGUAUAGUUGGGGACUUAUUGCCGGUAUUCUCAUAGGUGUCUUUUAUAUCUUUAGAGGCUCUGUAGAUAUUUAUGUGGGUUGUGUCUGGGUGCUAAAAAAGUCAGGUGGAUUACAACAUGUUUUGGACUCUUGUUUUACUAGCCCUUCACUUGAAAUAACCAGGCUUCCAAAUUCUCACAAAAAGCGACCGAACUCCACUAGGUUAUGGCAGAGGGUGGUUGUCGCCGGUUCUCAUUCUGCCGGCAGUCUGUUACCAACAACCUCCAUGAGAAGACCACAAAUUUCAGAGAGUUCCCUAAACACUGAGUCCUUGACUUCCUGAACCGAAUCGUCAACUAGAGUCUUGAGUAACUUUCUGUCCUCCAUGAGUGACCUCUGGAUGAAAGCACCAUUGAAACAAACUAAAAUUCGAACAACACAAUCCACAAUCAAUAAAUUCGAUAGUUGUAUUCCUCAACAAUAAUUAUAAGGAACUGAAUGCUUGAAAGGAAAAAUACUGGAAAUUGACAUAGAAGAAGGAGAUGAGAGACUAGAAGAAGGGGAUGAGAAUUACAGUCUUCAUAUAACAAAUUGCCUGCCUAAUACACUAUUCUUCCUAUUAUUUAUACUAAACCUUGCACCACAAAAUCCGCUAACUUCUUUGAUGGAUUCCUCCCGUGUUUGCUUUUUCUCAAAACAGACUGAUGUGGAAUCACAUAGGCCUCUGUUGAGUCAGCAUCCAUAUUGGUUGUAUCAUUCAAAACAUUUAAUUUAUUCAACUGCACAUACACAUCUUUCACAAUCUUCUGAAGAUUAUGAAAAUCCAUAUUUCCACUUUUAUAUGAAACUAUAAUAGAAAAGGUAAAAGGUGGAAAAAAAAUAAGGGAAGUCUUCUUGAAAAAAUGUAGAGUGAGUGACAGGUCG